UACAGAGGGUGCAAGCGUUAAUCGGAAUUACUGGGCGUAAAGGGCACGUAGGCGGUGAGAUGAGUGUGAUGUGAAAGCCCCGGGCUUAACCUGGGAAGAGCAUCGCAAACGAUCUGACUGGAGUAUAAGAGAGGGUGGCGGAAUUUCCGGUGUAGCGGUGAAAUGCGUAGAGAUCGGAAGGAACGUCGAUGGCGAAGGCAGCCACCUGGCUUAAUACUGACGCUGAGGUGCGAAAGCAAGGGGAUCAAACAGG
RNAcentral lists this ribosomal RNA (253 nucleotides) under uncultured bacterium. RNAcentral's name for it is "partial 16S ribosomal RNA". It matches the Rfam family "Bacterial small subunit ribosomal RNA", at positions 524 to 776 of the family's 1533-position model. The record is from RNAcentral.